GUACACAUUUUAGGAUUUUGUUCUAAUUUUAAUUUGUUUCUUUUUAAAUUGCAUAUGUUGAAGUUAUGUAAAUGAUGUCGGGGAGAGAUAGAAUCAGUCAACUUCCGACAGAAAUACUUGAUAAUAUUUUGAGAUUAUUGCCUAUCGUAGAAGCUGCUAGAGCUGCUGUUUUGUCUACCAUUUGGAGAGAUUGUUGGUCCAGUAUCACAUAACUCAACUUUGAUUAUCAGUUCGGUUCUUUUGUUGGGAUAAAAUAUUGUGAGAGUUAUAAUGCCACAUCAGCCUGUAUGUAUGUAAUCAACAAAGUUCUCAUGCGGCACCAUGGACCUAUUCGGAAAUUUGUCUUUGAUUUCGAUGAUGACAUAUCAAUCAUUAGAGAUGAGCAUAAUUCUCGAAAGUUUGACUUGGAUCAAUGGUUCCUUUUUGUUACUCAGAAAGGUGUUGAAGAAAUGGAUAUUAUUUCUCCAAGUCCAAUAAAUUUUCAACCAAAUGAAUGCUAUAGUGUCCCAAAUUGCAUAUUUUCUUGCUUAACUCUCACGAAGUUGGAUCUUACUGGAGUAUUUGUUGCACCAACAAUAAAUGCCCCUUGCAUAUUUCCGAAUGUCACUUCACUUAGUUUCGAAAGCGUUAUCUUUGGUGCUAUUAAUCUGGAUUUUGUUAUAGAAGUUCCCAUGCUUGAGACACUCUCAUUUAGCGGAUGUGCGAAUGUGUCAUAUUUUGACAUUAAGGCUCCAAGGCUUAGCAGUUUAACAUUCACGAAUGAUUUGUUUCAAGACAUCUUCAUCUUCUCCCGGUUAACUUGGACUUGUCAUAUAUUCAUACUCUUUGUUUGGAUUUUAAUUUCAAGCGUUUUGUCAGUGGACUUACAAGAUGUGGACGUGAACUAAAUAUGGAAUUCCUUGAGUUAUCACAUCUCCAAUUUCACGAUGAUUAUGAGUUUUCUGCCUUUAUUAAUUCAUUACAAAUAUGCUCCAAAUUACGCAAGCUUGACAUAAUGAGUUUAUGGUUUGGUGCAAGAAUUUCCAACUCUAAACUUUGGGAAGGAAUUCAAAGUGCGGCUAAAAUGCUUAAAAUGCUUCACACUUUCAAGCUUAGAUCAUUCAAUGGGUCGAGGUUUGAAUUGCGAUUCAUCAAGAUGCUACUUGCUUGUUUUUCCGCACUUGAGAAGGUUGUCAUUAUUCGUCAGAUGAAGUUUGAUUCCAAUAAGGAGUUUAAAAUUAUGCAAAAGCUUUUAAACUUUCGUCGUGCAUCAAAGAAAGCAAAAAUUGUUUACAUAUAAGCAUCUUAUUAUAUUUUUUGUUAAAUUGAAUUUAUGCAUCUCCUUCAUUCAC
Molecule: RNA transcript, 1331 nt
Organism: Ipomoea nil (Japanese morning glory)
Lineage: Eukaryota; Viridiplantae; Streptophyta; Magnoliopsida; Solanales; Convolvulaceae
Exons: 3
Source: RefSeq, a predicted model, not a curated record